ACUUGGCCGUGCGCAGGCGCAGCUGCUGCGGCUCCUGAAAUCCUCUGGUGUGAACUUCUCUCCCAGGGCUGUUGGUGCAGCAUCCACUCUUCUGGCAGUGGGCGCCUGGACCUUAGUUACCCGGGGAGCGUGAGUCAUGUUGCCAUAGUUGAGCUGGCACAUAAAACUGCGAGUCACACCAGAAGAGGACAUUGGAUCCCACUAUAGAGGGUUGUGAGCCACCUUGUGGUUGCUGGGAAUUGAACUCAGAAACUCUGGAAGAGCGGUUGGUGCGCUUUACUGCUGAGUCAUCUCUCCAGUCCCAGUUUAUAGAACAAGGAAUUGAAGCUUGGAGAAGAUUGAUGGGCCACUCAAGUUCCCUGGAUGGUCCAGGAUUCAGACUGUGGAUGGCC
Molecule: long non-coding RNA, 392 nt
Filed under: Mus pahari (shrew mouse)
Lineage: Eukaryota; Metazoa; Chordata; Mammalia; Rodentia; Muridae
Description: lncRNA (MGP_PahariEiJ_G0003508.1)
Source: RNAcentral